This 134-nucleotide microRNA precursor is filed under the name Hordeum vulgare. RNAcentral's name for it is "microRNA MIR1122". It matches the Rfam family "MIR1120/MIR1122 microRNA precursor family". The record is from RNAcentral. Lineage: Eukaryota; Viridiplantae; Streptophyta; Magnoliopsida; Poales; Poaceae.
UAACUUCUCCCUCCGUUCCAAAAUUCUUGUCUUAAAUUUGUCUAGAUAUGAAUGUAUCUAGUCACGUUUUAAUAUUUAAAUACAUUCAUUUUUAGACAAACCUAAGACAAGAAUUUUGGGACGGAGAAAGUCUG